GACGAACCGUGCGAACGUUGUUCGGAUUCACUGGGCUUAAAGGGCGCGUAGGCGGCCACCGCAAGUCGGUUGUGAAAUCUCUGGGCUUAACCCAGAAAGGUCAACCGAUACUGCGGGGCUAGAGUGCAGAAGGGGCAACUGGAAUUCUCGGUGUAGCGGUGAAAUGCGUAGAUAUCGAGAGGAACACCCGUGGCGAAGGCGGUUCUCUGGGACGGUACUGACGCUGAGACGCGAAAGCGUGGGGAGCGAACAGG
Molecule: ribosomal RNA, 254 nt
Filed under: uncultured bacterium
Lineage: Bacteria
Description: partial 16S ribosomal RNA
Rfam family: Bacterial small subunit ribosomal RNA
Source: RNAcentral